CCUACGGGAGGCAGCAGUGGGGAAUAUUGGACAAUGGGCGAAAGCCUGAUCCAGCCAUGCCGCGUGUGUGAAGAAGGUCUUCGGAUUGUAAAGCACUUUAAGUUGGGAGGAAGGGCAGUAAGUUAAUACCUUGCUGUCUUGACGUUACCGACAGAAUAAGCACCGGCUAACUCUGUGCCAGCAGCCGCGGUAAU
RNAcentral lists this ribosomal RNA (194 nucleotides) under uncultured bacterium. RNAcentral's name for it is "partial 16S ribosomal RNA". It matches the Rfam family "Bacterial small subunit ribosomal RNA", at positions 338 to 524 of the family's 1533-position model. The record is from RNAcentral.